GACGAACGCUGGCGGCGUGCUUAACACAUGCAAGUCGUACGGUAAGGCCCUUUCGGGGGUACACGCGUGGCGGACGGGUGGGUAACACGUGCGUAACCUGCCCACCACUUUGGGAUAACGCUAGUAAACUGGUGCUAAUACUGGCUAUGUGCCCCUGCUGCAUGGUGGGGGUUGGAAAGCUCCGGCGGUUGUGGAUGGACUCGCGGCCUGUCGGCUUGUUGGUGGGGUAGUGGCCUACCAAGGCGGCGACGGGUCGCCGGCCUGGGAGGGGGACCGGCCAGAUUGGGACUGAGCUACGGCCCAGACUCCUACGGGAGGCAGCAGGGGGGAAUAUGGCACAAUGGGCGGAAGCCUAAUGCAGCACCGCCGCGUGCGGGAUGUCGGCCUUCGGGUUGUAAACCGCUUUCGCCUGUGACGAGGCGUGAGUGACGGUAAUGGGUAAAGAAGCACCGGCUAACUACGUG
Molecule: ribosomal RNA, 464 nt
Filed under: uncultured bacterium
Lineage: Bacteria
Description: partial 16S ribosomal RNA
Rfam family: Bacterial small subunit ribosomal RNA
Source: RNAcentral